UACGCAACAGUGAUUGGGCAACAUCGUUUGCGUUCUCAGCCUCAAUUAUCUCCAGCAAGUCGACAUCAAAAGUAGGCAAAUUCGUAGUGGGGGCUAUGUCUUUUCCCCGAUCCGACUUCCCUUCGCCGGCAGAGGUUUCAGGUUGAGGGGAAGUUGCAGUGAGAUCUUUAUAACCAGGUGGAUGUUCCGGGGAACUGUCGACCUUCUCAUCCUUGGGGACAUUAUAUGUGUCCCACCCUGACCCUAUCGACUUUUCAGGGGUCGGGGGCUUGUCAAACAAUUUUCCAUAUGUCGCUUUGUAAAUGUUAAAGCUCAGUAACUAACUUCAUGCGGGCACGUCGCUCCUCCUCUAAUGCCUCUAUAACUGUCUUUAACCGAACUUCCAUUGUCACUGAAAAUUCUUCAAAUUGUUGCUUAGAAACAAACUCAAACUUAUGCGUAUAAAAAACAAUGAUUUCAUAUCAUAAGUCCACCAAAACCAAUAUCCAGUUAGAAACAAUACAUGCCUAUAAAUUCAAACUACAAUUUACGGGGAUUUAUGUACUCACUGUUGACCGGGAUGAUGAUGGCAACGCUCCCAAGUGUGUGUGGUAUCCCUUCUUCGCCUUCCAUUUGGGUCCAGAUGAAGGCGUGGCCUUAGAGUCCUAAUCAGCAUCCGCAACACCUUUACUUUUGUCUUCUGGUGUUGCAUCUGUACCAGCCUCAACAUCAUCAAAUAUGACAUUCCAGUAAGGUGCCAUCUUUUCUUCCUUGGUCGGAGUAAUCGGGUGGACAACAACCUACAUCGGACAAAAUCGGUGUUGCAUACAUAAGUAAAACCAAUUCAAAAUACAAAAUUCACUAAGUUUAUUAAAACUCGAAUAAACACAUACCUUUUUUUUAGCAAAAAUACUGCUAUUCAGCUUGUGAUGGGACGGAUUUAGGUAGGUGUCCCAACAGCAAGUCGGGGGCAAUAACUAAGGGUUCUCCGUGUGCACAUUCGCAUAGUUUUUUUACCUCAAGUACUACAAUGUUUCAAACAACCAAAUCUACAAAAUUUAAAGCAAUAAUGUCAAUAAAUUGUAGCGAAAAUGAAGGCAAAAGUGUGUUCAACUUAUAAGAGUCCCGGACCGUUCCCCCAGUUUCUCUACAGAUUUUUCUUUUACAACCUUGUGGCGGGUCAAAGCGGCUGCGGAUAUGCUUGGCAUCAACACCUGGAAUGAUGCGGUUCUUUAGGGAUAUCUCUCCCAUUUUUCUACAUAUUCUACCAAUUGAAGCAGGUGGUAGUUAAUGGCCAACUCCUUCUCCUUGCCCAAAACAACAAAGUGGACAAAGUACAGUAGACCGAGCUUGUACCUAUCUUUUGGAUGUUGGCACAUGUUGAAUUACUCCUUCGAUUGUUUAUAGGGUUAUCUUAUUCUUCCCCCUGAAAUAGAUGUCUCUAAGACAACAUUCAUCAUCCUUCACUUUGGGAGGGGGGUGGGGAGGGAUUCUCCAAAACUGAGUCCCGUCACCAUACAUAAUUUGGGCCUCCUGAAAGUCGCAACAUGUUCCCAAAUGAAGGAUAAGGUGUCACAUCCUAGCCCGGGCCCCCACCAUAUCUCAGGCUCGACUCCCCCGUAACACGUUAUUGUUCGUUUUGGGCCUCGAUCAUGCCCUCACGGUUUUGUUUCUGGGAACUCACACGAGAACUUCCUAGUGGGUCACCCAUCCUGAGAUUGCUCUCGGGCGAACUCGCUUAACUUCGGAGUUCCGAUGGAACCCGAAGCCAGUGAGUUCCCAAAAGGCCUCGUGCUAGGUAGAGAUGGGAAUAUACAUAUAAGGCUUACAUGAUCCACUCCCUUGGGUGAUGUGGGAUGUUACAAUCCACUCCCCUUAGGGGCCCGACGUCCUCAUCGGCACACAUCUGGCCAAGGAUUGGCUCUGAUACCAACUUGUCACAUCCCGGCUCGGGCCCCCACCACAUCCUAGGCUCGACUUCGCCGUAGCAUGAUAUUGUCCACUUUGGGCCCUAACCACACCCUCACGGUUUUGUUUUUGGGAACUCAAACGAGAACUUCCUAGUGGGUCACCCAUCCUAGGAUUGCUGUCGGGUGAACUCACUUAACUUCGGAGUUCCGAUAGAACCCGAAGCCAGUGAGUUCCCAAAAGGCCUUAUGCUAGGUAAAGAUGGGAAUAUACAUAUAAGGCUUACAUGAUCCACUCCUCUGGGCAAUGUGGGAUGUUACAAAAGGAAUCAUCACGCACUUUAUCCUUAAUAGCUUAAGGAUAACGUAGUGGGUAAGCUGCCCGAACCAGUCAAUGUGAUCCACAUCAACCAAAUGGCCAAAUCAUGAAGCUUCAAAUUUGUUCAGUAGAUCCUUUGUAAAUCGACCUCUAAUAUUUCCCAGACACCCCGAGCAUAUGACAGACAAGAGAUGGUUGCAGGAAACACCUCAUGCGACGAACACACGAGUUCCGUCGGAGACACAUAUUUGACUUUAGAACUGCAAUAUUUAGAACAUAAGCAAAUCAAUUAAAUAAGAUAAGCAUGCACAGAGGAUAUGCACAUCAUAUGCAUAUUGUCUGCCCAAAUUAAACCAGUUCAUCCACCAACUACAAGUAUGACGAAAAUCAACGCGUGCACAGGAUAUGCACAAUAUAUGCACAUAAUAUACAUAUACUAUGCACAAAUUUAAUGAAUUCAUGAACCAAAUUCAAGCGUGCCCAAUAUAUAGACAUGCACGGAUUAUGCAUGCAGUAUGCACGAAUUGAUGAACAUAUUUCAAUCAAUUAAUUUCCACCAACCUCUAAACCACAUGCACGAUAUAAAUUAACAUCAAACAACUUAACUGUACAAAACACUAAUUCGCACCCAAAACCCAAAAUUCCCAAUUUUACAUAACCUAGGUUCAAAAAAUUAAAUUUUAUUUCAAAGCGUACCUCUUUUUGGAUUUUGCCAUUGAAAUUUUUUGGAAAGGAUGUGCAAAUGCUAGGGUGGAAACAUCUUUUUCAAAUAUUUCGAAAGGAUGUGCAAAUGCACAGUACAACAACUCCUAAAUGUAUAGAGUGGAUGGAAAAGGUUGCGUUGGUCGGAAACUGGGGUGAAAAAGGGUUGCGUUGGCCAGAAAUGGGGUAGAAGAUGUUGCGUCGGUCGAAAAUGGGGUGGAAGAAGGUCGCGCUAUUUGGGGUUAGGGUUGUUGGAGCUAAGGGUUGGG
Molecule: long non-coding RNA, 3176 nt
Filed under: Malus domestica (apple)
Lineage: Eukaryota; Viridiplantae; Streptophyta; Magnoliopsida; Rosales; Rosaceae
Description: long non-coding RNA (MDOM_LNC000419)
Source: RNAcentral